CACGGCGGCUACACCGGCAGCGGACCGGGCUUUGGAGAACCUCGGGACUCAGGUGCUGAGGUGCCCAGCGGCUCCGGACGUGCUACGGGGUGCGAGCGCGGGGGAGUUCGGGGCGCACGACAAGGAAGGGCCCCCGGGAGCUCUAUAUGGAGGAAGGAGCCCAGAAUGGUGUGCACCAGGAAGACCAAAACUUUGGUGUCCACUUGCGUGAUCCUGAGCGGCAUGACUAACAUCAUCUGCCUGCUCUACGUGGGCUGGGUCACCAACUACAUCGCCAGCGUGUAUGUGCGGGGGCAGGAGCCGGCGCCCGACAAGAAGCUGGAGGAAGACAAAGGGGACACUCUGAAGAUUAUUGAGCGGCUGGACCACCUGGAGAAUGUCAUCAAGCAGCACAUUCAAGGCUAUAGGAGAAAUUUCUCCCUUCUGAAUGUGUCCAACUAGCUCUGUUCACCUGAGAAAUCACAUUCCUCAGCUCUGGGUAUCCCUGAAUAACCACAGGAGAACAGUUCCAGGCCCUGAUAAGUCAGCUAUUGCAAGGGGGACCUGGCUGGAAGAUAUGAAGGAAAAAUAUCAUUCUUGAACUAAUAAGUUGAGAGAUCACAGCCUUCAGGGGACCAGAAGGGAAGGCUGAACAGAGAAGGGCAAUUUCACGUUCGCCAUGUCCAUAUUUCUAUCGUCAUGAGCCAUCUCACCUUAUAGGCAGGGAAGUUUUGAGCUUAGAGAAUGGGAUGCGUCAAGAAAACCGUGGCUCCCCCAGCUCUGUUCCUGGAUUCAGUGCCUGUUGUUUCAUCCUGUGUAGACUGGAGUCAGGGUCUACACAGUUGGAAUUCUAUGGAACCAAGAUGCUGUGUGGCAGAUGGAUGUGGACUCCAACUGUGACAAUCCAGAAGGCCUUGGGGACUUGUUUCAUGAACAGCUCCCUGUAGGAUCUCUGUUGGGGUGGGGGAUUCUAGGGGCAUCUCCGCAGUUUUCUUCUGAAAACAAAAGGAAUACAAGUUGGGCAGGUGCAACAACUGUGCAUGCAGUCCCCUCCCAGGGCUGGCUAGCAGUAUUGUUGGGUACCGUAAGCACUUAGCAUUGUUAAGUGAGCAUAAGUAACAAGAUGCAACAGCCUCUGGUCAAGUUUUGAAGAUUUUGUUUUAAAAUAUGCUUUUAGAUUUUGACAUUCAUUAUUAUUAAAAGGAACAAAACUCAAUUUGGGGUCUCAAGAGCCACAAUUCUAGACUUCUAGGAUGUCAGGAGCUUCUAGAAGCUCUUAAGCUUCUCACCCUGCUGUUUUAAUGAGAUUAAUGAUUAUUUUCCACUGAGCACCUACCUGUGAUGUUCAUAAAAAAGUGAAAUAAAUGACUCACAUGGAGAUUUGGAAGGAUAUCACUGUGGAAAGUAGAUGUUAACAGCCUCUAGAAAUAUGAUAAUUAUCAGCUAUUUGAGAUGCAGUCACUGUAAUGUGAUAACAAGAUGUGUUGUGCAGGUAGAAAGCACGGAGAGAAAUGGCACAAAGUAGAGUUAUAAGAAAAAAGAAAGAAGAGA
RNAcentral lists this small RNA (1530 nucleotides) under Pan troglodytes (chimpanzee). RNAcentral describes it as "processed transcript". Lineage: Eukaryota; Metazoa; Chordata; Mammalia; Primates; Hominidae. The record is from RNAcentral.